This 3023-nucleotide ribosomal RNA is filed under the name Acidobacteriota bacterium. RNAcentral describes it as "Acidobacteria bacterium (sediment metagenome) 23S ribosomal RNA". It matches the Rfam family "Bacterial large subunit ribosomal RNA". The record is from RNAcentral. Lineage: Bacteria; Pseudomonadati; Acidobacteriota.
UUAGGUCAAGCUACAAAGGGCGUACGGAGGAUGCCUUGGCGUAGGCAGGCGAUGAAGGGCGUAGCAAGCUGCGUUAAGCCUCGGGGAGCCGCAAGCAGGCUUUGAUCCGGGGAUUCCCGAAUGGGGCAACCCGGUCGGGGUAAUACCCGGCCAUCUCACGCUGAAUCCAUAGGCGUGUGAAGCCAACGAGGGGAAGUGAACCAUCUCAGUACCCUCAGGAAGAGAAAACAACCGUGAUUCCCCAAGUAGUGGUGAGCGAACGGGGAAGAGCCUAAACCGCUCAUGUGCUCAAGCCUGCAGGCCUUGCAUGAGCGGUGUCGUGGGAGCCACACGGACCUGCUGCAGUGGGUUCAAAGGGUUACAAAGCGGACGGCUAGUCGAACGGUCUGGGAAGGCCGGCCAUAGAGGGUGACAGCCCCUUAGACGAAAGCCGCUCCGCCCCUUCGUGGAUUUCCCAAGUACCGCGGAGCACGUGGAAUUCCGUGGGAAUCUGCCGGGACCAUCCGGUAAGGCUAAAUACUCGCCUACGACCGAUAGUGAACCAGUACCGUGAGGGAAAGGUGAAAAGAACCCGGGUGACGGGAGUGAAAUAGAACUUGAAACCGUACGCCUACAAGCAGUCGGAGCGCUAUGGCCGCAAGGCAAUGCGUGACGGCGUGCCUUUUGCAUAAUGAGCCGGCUAGUUACCGUGUGUGGCAAGGUUAAGGGCCUCAGGUCCGGAGCCGUAGCGAAAGCGAGUCUGAAUAGGGCGUUCAGUCGCAUGCGGUACACGCGAAACCGGGUGAUCUAUCCCCGACCAGGAUGAAGUCUCGGUAACACGAGAUGGAGGUCCGAACCAGUGCGGGUUGAAAACCACUUGGAUGAGUUGGGGAUAGGGGUGAAAGGCCAAUCAAACUCGGUUAUAGCUCGUUCUCCCCGAAAUAGCUUUAGGGCUAGCCUCGACCGUUUCUUGCCGGAGGUAGAGCACUGAAUGGACUAGGGCGGCGUCAGCCGUACCGAAUCCAACCAAACUCCGAAUGCCGUCAAGUGAGAGGUCGGGAGUCAGUCUGUGGGGGAUAAGCUCCAUGGUCAAGAGGGAAAUAACCCAGAUCGCCAGCUAAGGUCCCUAAGUUCUGGCUAAGUGGUAAAGGUUGUUGAACUGCUCGGACAGCCAGGAGGUUGGCUUAGAAGCAGCCAUCCUUUAAAGAAAGCGUAAUAGCUCACUGGUCAAGCGGUUCUGCGCCGAUAAUGUACCGGGGCUCAAGCCAGGCACCGAAGCUGCGGGUCUCUCUCCGAAAGGAGAGGGGCGGUAGGGGAGCGUUCUUACGGAGAUGAAGCUCGACCGCGAGGACGGGUGGAUCCGUAGGAAGUGACUCUGUCGGCAUAAGUAGCGAUAAUGGCGGUGAGAAUCCGCCACGCCGAAAGCCUAAGGUUUCCUGGGGAAGGUUCGUCCGCCCAGGGUUAGUCGGGUCCUAAGGCGAGGCCGAAAGGCGUAGUCGAUGGAAAACUGGUUAAUAUUCCAGUACCACCCUAGGGACGCUAUCAGCGAAGGGGUGACGCGGAAGGAUAGGUCAGCCAGCCGAUGGAUGCGCUGGUCGAAGGUCGUAGGUGGGUCUCGCAGGCAAAUCCACGAGACCAUUACACCGAGAGCCGAGAGGGCCUCGAGUCCUUGGACGAGAGGUAACUGGCCGAGUCCAUGCCGCCAAGAAAAACCUCGUAGCGAGUCCUUAAGGUGCCCGUACCGUAAACCGACACAGGUGGGCGAGGAGAGUAUCCAAAGGCGCGUGAGUGAGCCCUCGGGAAGGAACUCGGCAAAAUUCCACCGUAACUUCGGGAGAAGGUGAACCUCGAGUACGUGAAAGCCCUCGCGGCUGUAGCGGAAUGAGGUCGCAGAGAAUCGGCCCAAGCGACUGUUUAACAAAAACACAGGUCUCUGCAAAGUCGUGAAGACGACGUAUAGGGACUGACGCCUGCCCGGUGCCGGAAGGUUAAGGAGAGAGGUCAGCCGCAAGGCGAAGCUUUGAACCGAAGCCCCGGUAAACGGCGGCCGUAACUAUAACGGUCCUAAGGUAGCGAAAUUCCUUGUCGGGUAAGUUCCGACCUGCACGAAAGGCGUAACGAUUUGGGCGCUGUCUCCCCGAGGGGCUCAGCGAAUUUGUGGCACCGGUGAAGACGCCGGUUACCCGCGACUAGACGGAAAGACCCUGUGAACCUUCACUGCACCCUAGCAUUGAAUUUCGACUCCACGUGUGCAGGAUAGGUGGGAGGCUGUGAAGCCGUGGCGUCAGCUGCGGUGGAGCCAACGUUGAGAUACCACCCUCGUGGUGUUGAGGUUCUAACCUGGGCCCGUUAUCCGGGCUGGGAACAGUGCUAGGCGGGUAGUUUGACUGGGGCGGUCGCCUCCCAAAGCGUAACGGAGGCUCCCAAAGGUUCCCUCAGGCUGUUUGGAAAUCAGCCGCAGAGCGUAAAGGCAUAAGGGAGCUUGACUGCGAGACCUACAAGUCGAACAGGCACGAAAGUGGGGCUUAGUGAUCCGGCGGUUCCGAAUGGAAGGGCCGUCGCUCAAAGGAUAAAAGGUACUCCGGGGAUAACAGGCUGAUCCUGCCCAAGAGUCCACAUCGACGGCAGGGUUUGGCACCUCGAUGUCGGCUCAUCGCAUCCUGGGGCUGAAGCCGGUCCCAAGGGUUCGGCUGUUCGCCGAUUAAAGCGGUACGUGAGCUGGGUUCAGAACGUCGCGAGACAGUUCGGUCCCUAUCUGUCGCGGGCGAAGGAGGCUUGAUGGGUUCCAUCUCUAGUACGAGAGGACCGAGAUAGACGGAGCUCUGAUGUACCAGCUGUUCCGCCAGGGGCAGCGCUGGGUAGUCACCUCCGGUGGGAUAAGCGCUGAAAGCAUCUAAGCGCGAAGCCCUCCCAAAGAUGAGGCCUCCCUCCAGCAAUGGCUGAAGGGCCCUGGAAGACGACCAGGUUGAUAGGCGGGAGAUGUAAGCGCGGUAACGCGUUCAGUCGACCCGUACUAAUAGCCCGUGAGGCUUGACCAUAACACU